AUUGAACGCUGGCGGCAUGCUUUACACAUGCAAGUCGAACGGUAGAGGGGGCAACCCCUUGAGAGUGGCGAACGGGUGAGUAAUGCAUCGGAACGUGCCCAGUCGUGGGGGAUAACGCAGCGAAAGCUGUGCUAAUACCGCAUACGAUCUCUGGAUGAAAGCGGGGGACCGAAAGGCCUCGCGCGAUCGGAUCGGCCGAUGUCAGAUUAGGUAGUUGGUGGGGUAAAGGCUCACCAAGCCAACGAUCGGGAGCUGGCCUGAGAGGACGACCAGCCACACUGGGACUGAGGCACGGCCCAGACUCCGACGGGAGGCAGCAGUGGGGAAUUUUGGACAAUGGGAGCAAGCCUGAUCCAGCAAUGCCGCGUGCAGGAAGAAGGCCUUCGGGUUGUAAACUGCUUUUGUACGGAACGAAAAGGUCUGGGUUAAUACCCUGGGCACAUGACGGUACCGUAAGAAUAAGCACCGGCUAACUACAUGCCAGCCGCCGCAGUAA
RNAcentral lists this ribosomal RNA (496 nucleotides) under uncultured bacterium. RNAcentral describes it as "partial 16S ribosomal RNA". It matches the Rfam family "Bacterial small subunit ribosomal RNA", at positions 29 to 523 of the family's 1533-position model. The record is from RNAcentral.